Small nucleolar RNA from Marmota marmota marmota (Alpine marmot), 128 nucleotides. The record is from Ensembl. Lineage: Eukaryota; Metazoa; Chordata; Mammalia; Rodentia; Sciuridae.
UAAAACUAUUAGAAAUCUAACCCGUCAGCCUGGCUGUAGCUGGGGGGUUCCAUUCCAGUGCCACAGCAUCUCCAGCAACACAUGAAUGACUGACCAGUGGAUUUCAGUUUCAGGUCUUUGAGACAGUG